RNAcentral lists this ribosomal RNA (486 nucleotides) under uncultured Cytophagales bacterium. Its description in RNAcentral is "bacterial SSU rRNA". It matches the Rfam family "Bacterial small subunit ribosomal RNA", at positions 28 to 508 of the family's 1533-position model. The record is from RNAcentral. Lineage: Bacteria; Pseudomonadati; Bacteroidota; Sphingobacteriia; Sphingobacteriales.
GAUGAACGCUAGCGGCAGGCUUAAUACAUGCNAGUCGAGGGGCAGCGGGGGUAUUAAUACCUGCCGGCGACCGGCAAACGGGUGCGGAACACGUACACAACCUUCCUUUAAGUGGGGAAUAGCCCAGAGAAAUUUGGAUUAAUACCCCGUAAAAUUAUAAAGUGGUAUCACUUGAUAAUUAAAGCUCCGGCGCUUGAAGAUGGGUGUGCGUCUGAUUAGGUAGUUGGUGCGGGUAACGGCCCACCAAGCCAACGAUCAGUAACUGGUGUGAGAGCACGACCAGUCACACGGGCACUGAGACACGGGCCCGACUCCUACGGGAGGCAGCAGUAAGGAAUAUUGGUCAAUGGACGCAAGUCUGAACCAGCCAUGCCGCGUGGAGGAUGAAGGUCCUCUGGAUUGUAAACUUCUUUUAUCUGGGAAGAAACCCACUUUUUCUAGAGUGGUUGACGGUACCAGAUGAAUAAGCACCGGCUAACUCCGUGC